GUGCAUGUAGCUCAGUUGGUAGAGUGCUUGCUUAGCACUCAUGAGGUCCCAAGUUCGAUCCCCAGCACUGUAUA
RNAcentral lists this transfer RNA (74 nucleotides) under Mus musculus (house mouse). RNAcentral's name for it is "tRNA-Ala". The record is from RNAcentral. Lineage: Eukaryota; Metazoa; Chordata; Mammalia; Rodentia; Muridae.